This 475-nucleotide long non-coding RNA is filed under the name Rosa chinensis. RNAcentral describes it as "sRNA RchiOBHm_Chr7g0232761". The record is from RNAcentral. Lineage: Eukaryota; Viridiplantae; Streptophyta; Magnoliopsida; Rosales; Rosaceae.
UGGCAUUGAGAGACGCUUGAUUUAGAUUACGUGAAUCUUUCCAUAAAUUUUUCUGGAGCAAACUUUGAUUGGAUUGGAAAGUGUCCUACUCAACCUGGAAAAGUAGAAUGUGGAUAUUAUGUAAUGAAGUUCAUGAAAGCAAUCAUUGAGGAUCCAACCAUAUUAACAAGAAGCAAGUUCAACAACUAAAGUUACAAUCAAGAAGAGAUAGAUGAUGUUCGAGUAGAGCGGGCUGACCUUGUUGAAACAUUACUCCAAGAUGAUGUAAAAUAGUUUGGUAAUUGGUAUAUUUUGCAAAGUAUAUAUUAAGCUGAGUUUUUGUGCAUGCCCAUGUAAAGUUUUAGAUUAGCUAGCUUUUUGUAAGCACUAGAAGUACAUGUAAUCUAAUCUCACCAAGACUCGCAGUUGGCAAUCUGUAUUUUGGAUGCCACGAGUCUUGGGAUAAUUUGUACACAUUGCUUGGAAUCUCCAUGAC